RNAcentral lists this long non-coding RNA (10959 nucleotides) under Vitis vinifera (wine grape). Its description in RNAcentral is "long non-coding RNA (VVIN_LNC002614)". Lineage: Eukaryota; Viridiplantae; Streptophyta; Magnoliopsida; Vitales; Vitaceae. The record is from RNAcentral.
GGUCCAAGCGUUUCAGCAAGGGGAAGAAGUCAGCGAUGUUGGGUCUCCCUGCCCACUCCAUGACCCCGUUCAUGGCUUGAAAGAACUCGUGCCCGUCCUUGGACUUGAUGUCCACGACAUCGCGUGACAGCGUGAUGUUGCCGAUAAGGUUGAAUGCCAUGCAAAAUAGGAAGUGGGGCAGUUCCACUUCCCCUGCUCUUCCCUCCGCACCUGACUUGGCCGCAUCCUCCUCAAUCCACCGGAUCAUGUCGUCGACACACUUCCUCCGAAGGGAACCCAUUUCAUUGAUCCGCUUGUUGACUAGGAGUUCACUGGCGCAUACCUUCCGGAUCAUUCGCCAGUAUGGGCCAUAUUUGCCGAGAGCCAUCGAACCUUGGUCGUAGUUGUGUGCGGUCAACGUAAAUGGAACGUUGCGGUCGGAGAAAGGGAGGUCAUGAUUCUUAAAAAGUUCAGCCGCAGCCUUGGCAGACUGUACGACCAUGGUGUUUAUGGCCCCAAGCUGUAACCAAAGAACAGGUCCAUGCUGAGGUCGAAGCCUGUGAAGGGUCUGGUGCGGCAGGGUUCCCAGAUCAAAUAUGUUGCCAAAAAUAGGCCAUCCUUGGGGACCUGGAGGUGUAGAUUUGGUUGAACCUUUUGUGAAUUUGAUCAAUCUCAGGAAAAGUAGUAGAGCUGCUGAGAAGAAACAGCUCCAGAAAACAAUGGAAGCGGUGGACAACUCCAUUUUCGUCUCAGCUUGUGUUCUCCUCUUUGGGCCACCCCAAACAACGUGCACACCAUAUAAGUUUUUUUUCCCUUAUAAAACAAACUUAUGACGUGUAGGGGAAAAGACAGUUAAUAUUCAAAGAUAUUAUUUGAUUAGUACCAUUUUUCAAAAUGAAUUGUUGAAGUACUUUUCUCUUUUAACCUUUCUCCUUUUCAUUUAUUACCUUUCUGAAAACGAAGAUUUGUUUUUUAUAUUUUGUCGUGCAAUGAAUGAACAUUUUUACUAUUUUGAUACUUUUUGGUACAACUUAUUAAGCCUUUACCAACCUUACUCACAUAUAGAUUCAACUUACUAUUAUUAAAAUAAAAUAAUUCACGUCCUUUCUAAAUUCCCACAUGUCUUGCUCCCUCACCUUGCAUUGGAUUCUUCCAUCCCCACUAAUUUUAACACCUUAUAAUUCAUAUUUUUUUAAUAGAAAAAUACAGAGUCGAGCAGUACCACAUGCUUUGCCUUUUUAUUUUAUUUUUUUGGAUUCUGUUUCAAAGGAGAUUAUCUUGGUUAUAUACAUCAACCUAAAUAAACUUUUAUAUUAAAUCAAAGAUUAUUGAAUUAAAAGCGAUGAAAUCAUCUCGAUUUGCAAAUCUAAUCCUUCAUUUUUUUUUAUUAUAAAACAUACAUUUUUUGAAUAAAAAUAUAUAUAUUUAUAAUAAAAAUUAAUUUUUUUAAUCAAAAUACAUAUAGAGAUACAAAUGAUGAUCGCAUUGAUUUGACUAUUAUUUAAUUAAUUGUCUUACAAUUAUGUGCUUUUUAUCUUAUUUUAAAAAUAUUAUUAAAAUAAAGAAUAAUAACAAUAUAGUAAGAAAUUGUUAUUAUUAAAAUAUUAUUAAAAAUACCCUUUUGUCUAUUUUUUUGAGAUUUGUACAUGAUGAGGUCGGGUCUUCAAAAGAUCACAAGAUUCUUUUGGUAUUUGAUGUGAGCUUAUCCAGGAGCAAGCUUAGGUCUCGUUCUAUCUUAAGAAUAAUGAUAAAGAUAAGUCUUUUGUGUUUGAUACCACACUUUUACCAAGGGUUUGAUGUUUGUUGAUUAGGCUUCAGUAUUUUUUUCCUUUUUCUCCUACUUGUAAGCGUUGGAGGCCGACAAAGAUCAAUUUACCAUAUUUGAGAAUUAGGUCAAGGUUGGCACCAUGAUCGAAGUAGCUUGGGAAUCUCUCAAGUUAGUAGUCAAAAAAAUCAAAUGGUGAUGCAAAUCUUCUUACCUCACUUGUGGGUAUAAGGUUGACAUACCUUCGUGUUAGGAAUUCUGAUUAAAUAAGGUUGAGCCUUCUGGCGAUGGGGGCAAAAAAAACAUGACCCUAUUGAGCUUGUUAUGACUUCUCUAUCAAAGUCCCGAUGAUUUAUGGUGUUAUCUAUUUUGUUUUUUGUCUAUUAUAAUGGGUCAGACAUAUCACUGCUAAGACAUUAAUUUAUAGACAAAUGUGAAGCUCUGAUCCUUGUUAUUAUUAAUUAACCCAAUGAGCAUGGGGAUUUGGAGGAAGAUGGUUUUUCAAUGUUGCAAUAUGGCCAAACUUGAACUUAUGCAAAACCCUACUCCAUGUUUUUAGGUUGAGCUUAUCUUCAUUCUUGAUUUUUUUUUUUUUCAUAAUCUAAUUGCAUACCUACCGUCUUUUUUCUUUUUUUUACUAUAGAAUAUAUGUCAACAUGGGCUAGUACCUCUUUAGUUGUCGCUCCUUGUUUAUUCUGUAGUACUAUUACAAGGAUCCUUGUUCAUUCUUGAGUAUUAUUACAAGAAAAUAAUCCUUCUCUAUGCACCCUAAUGUACUUCACAACUUUCUUAAUAACCUUAUGGAUUUGGAAGACUAUUGACUUUAGCUGCCAACCCUUCGCUCGUAGCCAGCACCCACCUAAGGCAAAGGUCGAAAUGGAUGGCAAGCUAGAAUUGCCGAUAAAUGUCCUUGAAUGUGAUGCUUAGCCACCUAGAUAAUUUUGGCAUAGAUGUAUUUUAACAAGCUUUCUCCUAGAUUUUUCAUAUUUUUCACACAAAAAUGAAAUAGUAAAUUUUUUUAAUAAAUUAAUUAAUUUUAACUAUCCUAUUUUCAAAUUCUAAUGAAUGAAAUAUAAAAACUAUUAAGAUAAUUUUUUUGACUAGUCUUUUUAUUUCUUUAGUAUAUUAGUUAAAUACAUGCGAAACAUAAAUUUAUAAAUAAAAUUAUAAAUAUUUUGAAAUAAAAAGAUAAUAGAUUAAUUAAUCUCUGGUGUAGAUUGCAAUUCGUUGUCAUCAGAUAUAAGUAAGAUUCUAAUAGAAUUGAUCUCCUUAAAAUUGUUCAACAAUAAUCCGAGUCUGGCUCACAUCGACUGUUGGUUGUAUCAUCUUAAGUUCCGACUAAUUUUGUGCUUGGCCCAUGCAGUUUUCAUGCUCUUCUCCAAGCCUGGAUUUUAGGUGAUACGGAACGGAAUAGUUUCCAUCAAUCUUACUGGCCCUGAUGUAGCUUAUUUUAUUCCUUCCAUGAUGAACUAUUUCACAAAAUUAAAUUCCUUACUCGUGAAAUGGUAGUAAUUCCAUCACUACGUGACUGGAUCAUGGGGUCCAGUCACUUUAUUUAAAAAACAAAAAAAUUAUACAUAUGCCGGCACAGAGAUCAUAGAAUCCUCCAAAUCUCGUGUUUAUACAUAGAUGAACAGAGACUUACCUUUUGGAGGGACUUGAGCCAUAACAUGGAUUCCUAGAGUAAAUUUGUGGCUCAAUGCUAUGUAAGCUUUUUAGGUACUGCUUUUAAUGGCUGUGACUUGCGCAUUACCAACCCCCACUUCUCUUUCAUGUCCAUGGUCUCGGGGGUGACAUUGCCCUUGAGUUGCCAGUCAAAAUGGUGAAGUAACGUCCCUAGAACAAGGUGCAACACUCGAUGAGCUAAUGGAAUCCCUGCACAAAUCCUUCGCCCUGCACCAAAUGGGAUCAGCUCAAAAUUUUGUCCCUUAUAUUCUAUUUUUUUGGAAUCUAGAAACCUCUCAGGCUUGAAAGAUGAUGGGUCUUCCCAGGAACCCGGGUCUCUUCCGAUGGCCCUAGCAUUCACAAGAACUUGAGUAUCUUUUGGUAUAUGGUACCCCAUGAAGCUGGUAUCUUGAAUUGCACUCCGUAGAAUUAGGAAUGGGAUUGGAGGAUGUAAUCGUAACGUUUCUUUCACCACGGCCUGUAAAUAUUGGAGCUCAUCAAUGUCGCUCUCUUCAACAUUCCUAUCUGCUCCGACGACUCGAGCAAGCUCAUCUUUCACCUCCGACAUUGAUUUGGGGUUGCGUAGUAGCUCCGUCAUUGCCCAUUCAACAAUGCUGCUACUGGUUUCUGAUCCCGCCAAAAAUAUUUCCUGCAUUACAUCCCACUAGUAAAAUAUAUUUUCCAAAUCAUUCAAGAAUUUUUUUUGGGUGUAAUCAACCAUCGCAACAAAAGCAAGAAAAGGUAAUGAAUAUUACCAGUAUAAAUAUAAUGACGUCGCGGUCUGAGAUUUUAGCGGGCUCGUCCUUACCAUUUCCUUCAAACUCCAGCAGCACAUCCAGAAAGUCCUUUCUCUUGGUCCCUUCCGUUCUCUGUUUUUUCAUGCGCUCAUUGACGAAUCCAGAAGCCAUUUCCAUAGCUUUUCCUAGGUCACGCUCCAUGUUCUUCCUUAGUCCCUGCAGGUCCAGCCAUCCAAGCCAUGGGAAAAAGUCAGACAGGUUGGGAUGGCCAGACCACUCCGUUAGAUUACUCAUUAUGGUGAAAAACUCCGAACCCUCUUUGGAUCGCAAGUCCUAUUUGUUCCUCCUAUUUUGAGUUGAAUUGUUAUGUUGGCAUCCUCAAAUUUUAUUUGUAUAAAGAAUGAAUUUAGAACUCACAGCCACAUCCUUGUAAAGAAUAGCAGUGGACCAUUAAGCUCGCCUUCGUCCUAUUAAUGGUUUAUAUUCAGAAUAUCUAUCCUUUAGCAUACUCGUUGAUUUAUCAUAUAGCAUUAUAAAUAGAAUAUUUCAUGAAGGCUUGACCUUUUUUUGUUAAGAACAACGCUAUUUGUUGCGAAUACCUUUGCUGAAUGGGUGUGCUGAAACACUCGAUGGCAUUGCGCAUAAUUUUGUACAAAAUUAAUGGCAUUUUGCCCAUGUGAGUAGUGAGCAAAGCUAUUGGGCAUCUACUCUGGGCGAUGACAAAAGUAUCGAUACAUUGUGAUAUAUCGACGGAAAUAUUGGUAAUUACGGGCAUAUCCACGAUAUAAGUAAUAAAUAAAAAUAUUUUGUGUCAAGAUGUACCAAUAUUUUAAAAUCAAAAUCAUAAAUAUGAUUUAAUCACAUAAUUAGUACAUUUACAAUAAUUUAAUUUUAAAUUAAUGAUUUAAAUUUAAUUUGAUAUUCAAGUGUAAUAAUAGUCUAUUAAGAGAAUAUUAACUUAGUACAUUUUUAAAUUAGUAUAACAUUAAAUUUAAAUAAAUACAUUUUUACAAUUAAUUAAUAUGUUAUUAAUAAAUAAAUUAACUUAGUAUAGUAAUAUAUUUUAAUCACAUAAUUAGUAUGUUUGUAAUAAUUUAGUUUUAUAAUGAGUGCACCCUUACAAAAUUCACUUUUUUUUUUAUUAAUCGAUGUGAUAUAAUUAAAUUUAAUAUUACAAGUCAUAUCAUACAUAUAUUGAUUUUUUCAAUAAAAUAAUUUUAAAAUAUUUAUUAUACUUCUUAUUUUAUUUCUAAGAGUUUUUUUUUUUUUUUCACAUUUUCAUGAGUUUUAAUUAAUUUUUUUAUCUUAAAAUAUCUAUCCAUAUAUUUUUAGUAUAUCUGUAAAAUCCAAGUACUAAUUAAUAUAUUCACGAUUACUGAUAUUUUCAUCCUUAUUACGUGCAAAUAGCAAUGUUUUUCUCUUUAACAUUAAGCCAAGAAUGUUUUUUUUGUCUUAGCAAUUAACAUGCUAGUGCUAUUGUAUAAUUUUUUUAAUUCAUAAUUUAUGCCAGCAUUUCAUGCUAUCAGUGUAGAACUGUGAGUAUACAUAGCUUAGUGUUGUCUGGUUGGUAACCAUAAUUCAGGCUUGUAGAUUAUUUUGCAUCUUCUCCCGUUUCAUGGGAACUAUAUUUGUACUGAAUAACUGAAUAUCAUAAUUAGUCUCGUUUUCCUGGAAAUCUCUGAUCUCUUUCCAUCCUAUCAAAUUACUCAAACCUAAACAAUUCUAUGGCCUUGGCUGACGAUAUGUGUCCCAUGCCGAAGGAGAGCAGAAUCUGUUCGAUUUUUAAAUUACUAGUAUAUACAUUGAUUCAUUUGUAAUUUAUAACCCAAAAAUGAAAUGAUUUAGCAUCCUUUUCUACUUCUCCUUUCACCUUUCCCCUUCUCAUUUGAAUUUCUCUUCUUUAAAAUGAAGCUGUAUUUGCUACAGUCAUUAUUUUUUUGAAAGGACUUACACAUGGAAAAUUAAAGUGUUAAGAUUACGUUAGACCGAUGAAACGACCCAUUUCUAUUGGGUGAUGCAUAAUGACUACGCCUUAGGAGUUUAAUGGAUUUGCAAUUACCGUUGAUGGAUUGGAAACCCAUUUAGAAACAUGGGUUUGUUUUACCCCAUGUUGCUUUACAUUUACCUAAAAUCUCAAGUAUAUACCUGUAUCGUGUCAAAAAUUAUUAAAAAUUCAUACUAUAAAUACACUGAAUUUUCAAUUAAUUCUCUUUUGAAAUAUUUUCAAACAUUAAUAUUUCAUAAAAUUUCCACUUAUCAUUUUCUCAUUAGAUUGAUUGAUAAUUAUCCAUAACAUAAAAGAUGCUCUUUAAAUUUGGUGUUAGUUUGAAGUAUAUCUGUUUAAACAAAUGAUUUGUGUAGGUGAUAACACGAGUAUUAGAAAUAUCUUUAUAAACGAGUGACUCAUAUUGGUAUUCAAUAAUGGCAAUCAUGGUAUCAAAAUGGGAAUAUUUUGUUAUGACAAUUUCAAAUGUUAUUAUUGUCUUUUUUAUUUUAAAGUGACAAGUCAAUUACAAUUUGAUUUGAUAAAUAAAUCAAAAGGUUAAAGUAAUUGCAUAAGAAAAUGAAAUAAAGAAAAAUUGAAAAGCAUCAAUCAAGCCCUUUUCGCUUUAACUAUGGAGCAUGUCUUUUUCCUUGUUUUUCCAUUGUGUAAAAUCAUCAUGUUGAUUAAUAGUAUAUGUAGGAAGAAAAAAAUAUUGUAUAUUACUUUCACGCUUGGAAUCAAUAUUUUGAAAGACAGUUGCAACUUAUAAAGCUUCAAUGAAACAAAACACUGAAACACAAAACUUGUUGGAGUCUUGGAGCUCGUUGUUUCUUUGAAGGACUCCAACCAGAGUAAGGUCGAUACCACUAAAUACUAUCUUGCAGUUGGACUUGGUACAUACAUCUAUUUCAGUGGUCAAUGUCAAGUAAAAUGAUCUUGGUUUUUGAAAGGUGACGGGUAGUCAACUUAUAAACUUUGCUGAAAUUUUUAUAACGGCUUUAAAUAUUUAAAUUUUAUGCUUUCUUUUUGUGUAAUAACAAUUCUCAAUCUAUUUUUUAUUUUUUAUUGUUAUAACCUAAAUUAUUUCUUGAGUUCAAUACAUAUUCUUGGUAGUAAGGGAAUAGGCACAGUCAUGUUUCUUAUAUUCUUAACAUGCAUUAAAAUGUUUAGUUAGAAUUUGCAAAUUACUUCUUGAAUAACACACAAAUUGGGAGUUGGUUUGAUACUGUUAAUUUGUGAAUUCUGGAUUUAUUACCAUGUGUAUGUAUGAAUCACUUGAUUAGUUCAGCAUUGAUCUUAGUCCUCAAGUCUCCGAGAUCUCAACUUUUAAAUUCAUACCAUAACUUGAUGACGAUUUUUUGGUUCAUUUAUCUGCAUGGAGAUUUAGUGAAUGAAAGCUUAUUGGGACGGAUACUAUUGAUGACUUUAACUUUUCUAUUUGACAGCCAACUUCUUGAGAGGUUUGUCAGUAUAGAGUGGGAGAUCUCAUCUCACAGAUUGAAAGCUCUAUUCAAUCUAAAGAAUUGGGAAACACCCAUGGAGCAGACCAAAUUGAGGAUGGUAAUCUAAGAACUUAGUUUUUUAAUUAACAAAUUUGACCAUUGAUGCUUGAAGCUUGUUCAUAUCAUGUCCUGAGAGUUAAAAAUAAUAAUAUUUUUUUCCCCUGAAUGUGUUUAUUUGAGUCGAAAUAAAGCUUAUGCUCUUACUGCAAACNNNNNNNNNNNNNNNNNNNNNNNNNNNNNNNNNNNNNNNNNNNNNNNNNNNNNNNNNNNNNNNNNNNNNNNNNNNNNNNNNNNNNNNNNNNNNNNNNNNNAAUCAAUAUUUUGAAAGGCAGUUGCAACUUAUAAAGCUUCAAUGAAACAAAACACUGAAACACAAAACUUGUUGGAGUCUUGGAGCACGUUGUUUCUUUGAAAGACUCUAACCAGAGUAAGGUUGAUACCACUAAAUACUAUCUUGCAGUUGGACUUGGUGCAUACAUCUAUUUCAGUGGUCAAUGUCAAGUACAAUGAUAUUGGUUUUUGAAAGGUCAACUUAUAAACUUUGCUGAAAUUUUUAUAGCGGCUUUAAAUAUUUAAAUUUUAUGCUUUCUUUUUGUGUAAUAACAAUUCUCAAUCUAAUUUUUAUUUUUUAAUGUUAUAACCUAAAUUAUUUCUUGAAUUCAAUACAUAUUCUUGGUAGUAAGGGAAUAGGCACAGUCAUGUUUCUUAUAUUCUUAACAUGCAUUAAAAUGUUUAGUUAGAAUUUGCAAAUUACUUCUUGAAUAACACACAAAUUGGGAGUUGGUUUGAUACUGUUAAUUUGUGAAUUCUGGAUUUAUUACCAUGUGUAUGUAUGAAUCACUUGAUUAGUUCAGCAUUGAUCUUAGUCCUCAAGUCUCCGAGAUCUCAACUUUUAAAUUCAUACCAUAACUUGAUGACGAUUUUUUGGUUCAUUUAUCUGCAUGGAGAUUUAGUGAAUGAAAGCUUAUUGGGACGGAUACUAUUGAUGACUUUAACUUUUCUAUUUGACAGCCAACUUCUUGAGAGGUUUGUCAGUAUAGAGUGGGAGAUCUCAUCUCACAGAUUGAAAGCUCUAUUCAAUCUAAAGAAUUGGGAAACACCCAUGGAGCAGACCAAAUUGAGGAUGGUAAUCUAAGAACUUAGUUUUUUAAUUAACAAAUUUGACCAUUGAUGCUUGAAGCUUGUUCAUAUCAUGUCCUGAGAGUUAAAAAUAAUAAUAUUUUUUUCCCCUGAAUGUGUUUAUUUGAGUCGAAAUAAAGCUUAUGCUCUUACUGCAAACUGCGGACCCAAAAAAGUGAAACUAUGAAAAAUAAGAGUAAUACAUUUUUGAGAGACUUAUACCAACCCAAAAAUCCUUGAUAAUUUUCAGUCUCAGACCGUGGGCUUUUCGGGUAACUUCUGAUGGUUGAGACUGCAUCGUCACUGACAUGCACCUGUCUGCCAAAUUUAGUAGGUUUUUUUGGGAAGAUAUCCCAUUCAAGAUCCCAAUCAAAACGGUGGAGCAACAACCCCAGGAGGACAAGAUGCAUCACUUUAUGAGCUAGUGUCGACGGAAUUCCUGCUAAAGAUGCCAUCAGCACAAAGCCGUCUCCCUACUGUUUGUCAGAGUCUAUAAACCUUUCUUCUUUUAUUUUUUAUUUUUUAUUUUUUAUUAUUUUGAUAUCUCCAUCCUAAGAAUCUGCUUAAAAUUCCCCAAGUCCUUAAACUCAAGUUCUGAGCUUACAGUAAAAGCAGAAAUAAAUUGAGAAUCAAUUCAGAUACAAGUAACCAUGAUCGGAUGCUUGAUCCGUGAGACAGGAGACCAAAGAGUUACUAACAUUACCAACAAAGCUGGAUCAAUGGAUUACAUAGAGUACAAGAAACAGACCCUUAUGCUAGUCUGUACUCCGAUAUAUCAUCUUAUGCUCCAAAACAUCAUCCUUCUCAUUAAUACCUUUCCACUGAAUUGCAAAAGCAACUUAGCCAUUUUAUUCCUUUUCAUGGGCAUCUCAAACAGUCCUCCUUUUGGGUAUUGGUUUCAGCGGUAUUAAUUUUCUCACCGCCAUUCCUACUCUCUCAUUCAUGUCUAUGGUCUCUGGAGUGACACCGCCGCCAAGCUCCCAGUCAAAACAGUGAAGCAGAGAGGCCAGAGCGAGAGGCAGCAAUUUGUUAGCUAAAGAUAUACCGAUGCAAAUCCGUCGUCCAGAUCCAAAUGGAAUGAACUCAAAAUUCUGCCCUUUAUAGUCUAGAUUUGAGCCCAAAAAUCUAUCAGGCUUGAAAGAGAGAGGCUCUUUCCAAGCAUCCGGGUCCCUUCCAAUCGCCCAUGCAUUGACAAAGACUUGUGUGUUUUUGGGUACGAAAUAGCCCAUGAAGUUUGUGUCUUGUAAUGCAUUUCGUGGAAGCAGUAAAGGAAUUGGGGGAUGCAGUCGUAGAGUUUCCUUCACCACGGCUUGCAAAUAUAGCAGCUGAUCAAUGUCGCUCUCUUCAACCUUCCCAUGUGGUCCAACAACUCGAUCAAGCUCUUCUUGGGCCUUUCUCAUUGACUCAGGUCUGCGGAGUAGCUCUGUCAUAGCCCAUUCGAGCGUACUGCUUGUAGUGUCUGACCCGGCAAAGAACAUUUCCUACAACACCGGUGGACAGUGAGUUCAUAGUUUUCUUUAAAAAUAAUGGGCAAUUUAUAUCUAUUGUGGAUGUAUUGGGCAGAGCAAGUGGGCGUGAAUAGCAUAACUCUUGACAUACCAGACAUAUUGAAUGAGUAAAAAGUCAUUGACAGAGCAGGAUGCUAAAAAAUAUUAGAGUGGUUUGCCAAAUCUAAGGAGAGUAAACAGAGAUUGAAUAUCUGUUACCAGUACGAUUAUUUUCACUUUGUUGUCUGACAUCUCAUGGGGACCUUCUUUCUCAUCAUCUCUGCACUCUAACAACACAUCCAAGAAAUCUCUCUUCUCCCUCACCAUCCCAGACUGCCGCUCCUCAUCUCUCUCCUUCACAAACCUCGCAAUUAAAUUGAGGGCUUGUCCCAUGUCUCGGACCAUGUUCCUCAUCAUCCCCAGCGGGUCCAAGCGUUUCAGCAAGGGGAAGAAGUCAGCGAUGUUGGGUCUCCCUGCCCACUCCACGACCCCGUUCAUGGCUUGAAAGAACUCGUGCCCGUCCUUGGACUUGAUGUCCACGACAUCGCGUGACAGCGUGAUGUUGCCGAUAAGGUUGAAUGCCAUGCAAAAUAGGAAGUGGGGCAGUUCCACUUCCCCUGCUCUUCCCUCCGCACCUGACUUGGCCGCAUCCUCCUCAAUCCACCGGAUCAUGUCGUCGACACACUUCCUCCGAAGGGAACCCAUUUCAUUGAUCCGCUUG